GGGGGUGAGCUAGGUUCGACGCAGGUAGUGCGGGUGAGAGCAGCGAGCCGAGGUCCCGUGGCCUCGUUAAACUGCGGGAAGAGCAAACUGCCAACGAGAAUCUCGCUCUAGCGGCCUAACGGCCACUACGCCCGGCGGGUCCAGCCUGCGGGACCUACCGGGUGCCGACCAGCAGGAUAGCGGCCGGGCCUUCCCCCUGGAGGCUCGGGGCGCGAAAACAACCAGGGUAGCCGCAGCGGAUCCCGCCCGUGGGAGCCGGUCGCGGCGAACGGAAAACGCGGGCUACGCUCGUAGAGACUGGCACCUGUUCACCUGCGGACCCGGGUGCAACUCCCGGCACCUCCACCA
This 348-nucleotide transfer-messenger RNA is filed under the name bacterium. Its description in RNAcentral is "JACIYH01 sp014360055 Standard tmRNA". It matches the Rfam family "transfer-messenger RNA". From Rfam's summary of the family: Bacterial tmRNA, also known as 10Sa RNA or SsrA, is named for its dual tRNA and mRNA-like properties. Its role is to liberate the mRNA from a stalled ribosome. To accomplish this part of the tmRNA is used as a reading frame that ends in a translation stop signal. RNAcentral also lists the same sequence under 1 other name. The record is from RNAcentral.